AUUGAACGCUGGCGGCAGGCUUAACACAUGCAAGUCGAGCGGGGUGAUGGUGCUUGCACUAUCACUUAGCGGCGGACGGGUGAGUAAUGCUUAGGAAUCUGCCUAUUAGUGGGGGACAACAUCUCGAAAGGGAUGCUAAUACCGCAUACGUCCUACGGGAGAAAGCAGGGGAUCACUUGUGACCUUGCGCUAAUAGAUGAGCCUAAGUCGGAGUAGCUAGUUGGUGGGGUAAAGGCCUACCAAGGCGACGAUCUGUAGCGGGUCUGAGAGGAUGAUCCGCCACACUGGGACUGAGACACGGCCCAGACUCCUACGGGAGGCAGCAGUGGGGAAUAUUGGACAAUGGGGGGAACCCUGAUCCAGCCAUGCCGCGUGUGUGAAGAAGGCCUUAUGGUUAUAAAGCACUUUAAGCGAGGAGGAGGCUCUUUUGGUUAAUACCCAAGAUGAGUGGACGUUACUCGCAGAAUAAGCACCGGCUAACUCUGUGCCAGCCGCCGCAGUAA
This 503-nucleotide ribosomal RNA is filed under the name uncultured bacterium. RNAcentral's name for it is "partial 16S ribosomal RNA". It matches the Rfam family "Bacterial small subunit ribosomal RNA", at positions 30 to 523 of the family's 1533-position model. The record is from RNAcentral.